Molecule: non-coding RNA, 499 nt
Organism: Salvia hispanica
Lineage: Eukaryota; Viridiplantae; Streptophyta; Magnoliopsida; Lamiales; Lamiaceae
Source: RefSeq, a predicted model, not a curated record
GUGCCUUCGAUGUUUGGUGGUGAGCCAAAUCGGCAAUAAUAUCAUUCUCGAUAUUAUCAACAAUCCAAGAAAAUACCACCAAGUCAUCUUCUUCCCAGUCGUCGUAUCCUUUGCUCCCCGGUUCUGGGGGAUCGUUUUUGAUGUAGGAAUAAGCCCCCCGGCCACCAAUCUUGACUUUCAUAAGUCUUGACCAAAGGUCUGAUUUUCUGGUUUGUGGACUAAAAAAAAGCAGAACACAGUCGAGAAAGGUAUAUUGGUUGUGAUGAGGAUUUUCUGAGCCAAAAAAGAUUAUUCCUGCUCUGACGCCAUGUUAAGAUCGAGCUUUUGGCUGGAAAGAAAGAAGGGGAAGAUGUGCUACAUGGUGAGAGCAAGAGAGCUGGAAUUAUUUGGUGUGGUGACACACCAAGUUACUGGGACCUCACAUCCCAUCCAGAUUCAAGAUUCUCAAAGGUUGCUCUGUUAAAAGAAGUUUGCUGGCUUGAAAUCAGAGGCACCAUAA